GGUUGUCGUCAGCUCGUGUCGUGUAGAUGUUGGUUAAGUCCGCAACGAGCGCAACCCUUAUUGCUAGUUACCAUCAUUAAGUUGGGGACUCUAGCGAGACUGCCAGUGAUAAACUGGAGGAAGGUGGGGAUGACGUCAAAUCAUCAUGCCCUUAUGACCUGGGCUACAAACGUGAUACAAUGGCUGAAACAAAGGGCAGCGAAGGAGCGAUCUGGAGCGAAACCCAAAAAAGCAGUCUCAGUUCGGAUUGAAGUCUGCAACUCGACUUCAUGAAGUCGGAAUCGCUAGUAAUCGCGGAUCAGAACGCCGCGGUGAAUACGUUCUCGGGGUUU
Molecule: ribosomal RNA, 332 nt
Filed under: uncultured Acholeplasma sp.
Lineage: Bacteria; Bacillati; Mycoplasmatota; Mollicutes; Acholeplasmatales; Acholeplasmataceae
Description: bacterial SSU rRNA
Rfam family: Bacterial small subunit ribosomal RNA
Source: RNAcentral